CUCUGUUUUGUCUAUUGUGCACAUCGAGGCCUUGGAUGUUCCACCUUUUGUUUUAAAUUGAUUAAAUAAAUGUCAGGUGAAGGAAACAAAGGUACUUCUGAAAGUUUUUCAGUUUGAAUGAUCAGUGUUAAAGGUUAGUCCUCUAAGAUCACCACUUCUGUUCACUUCUUCCUUCCUCUCUUCUCUCCAAAGGGGCGCGAGCGUCGGACCACAGCAGAGUUGCCAUUCUCAACCACUCAGCAUCACUAUGUUGCAACAUCGUGCUGAAGGAGGUCUUUAUUCUGGAGAAAGCAGCGUGGUAGCAGAGAAGAAAGAAGCCAUUAAGAGCAUCAAGACACGCUAAAUGGAACGCUGCUACCUGC
RNAcentral lists this long non-coding RNA (362 nucleotides) under Takifugu rubripes (torafugu). Its description in RNAcentral is "lncRNA (ENSTRUG00000031276.1)". Lineage: Eukaryota; Metazoa; Chordata; Actinopteri; Tetraodontiformes; Tetraodontidae. The record is from RNAcentral.